UACAAUUUUUGACUCUUCAUCUUAUUUAAAAUUUUUUACGAUUGAUAUUUUUGUUUUUAUUAGAUGAUAAAUCAUGAAUAGUACUUUACGUGUGACUAAUUUUUUUCUAAUUUUCUCAAAAUUUUUCAAAUAAGACGGAUGGUCAAACGUUGGAUACGGAAACC
This 164-nucleotide microRNA precursor is filed under the name Oryza brachyantha (malo sina). Its description in RNAcentral is "MIR812 microRNA precursor family". It matches the Rfam family "MIR812 microRNA precursor family", at positions 27 to 189 of the family's 205-position model. The record is from Rfam by way of RNAcentral. Lineage: Eukaryota; Viridiplantae; Streptophyta; Magnoliopsida; Poales; Poaceae.